RNAcentral lists this ribosomal RNA (484 nucleotides) under uncultured bacterium. RNAcentral describes it as "partial 16S ribosomal RNA". It matches the Rfam family "Bacterial small subunit ribosomal RNA", at positions 28 to 523 of the family's 1533-position model. The record is from RNAcentral.
GACGAACGCUGGCGGAGUGCUUAACACAUGCAAGUCGAACGAUGAACCCGGAGCUUGCUCCGGUGGAUUAGUGGCGAACGGGUGAGUAACACGUGAGUAACCUGCCCUUGACUCUGGGAUAACUGCGGGAAACUGUAGCUAAUACCGGAUACGACCCUCGGCGGCAUCGCCAGGGGGUGGAAAGAAUUUCGGUCAAGGAUGGACUCGCGGCCUAUCAGCUAGUUGGUGAGGUAACGGCUCACCAAGGCGACGACGGGUAGCCGACCUGAGAGGGUGAUCGGCCACACUGGGACUGAGACACGGCCCAGACUCCUACGGGAGGCAGCAGUAGGGAAUCUUCCGCAAUGGACGAAAGUCUGAUGCAGCAACGCCGCGUGAGGGAUGACGGCCUUCGGGUUGUAAACCUCUUUUAGCAGGGAAGAAGCGAAAGUGACGGUACCUGCAGAAAAAGCACCGGCUAACUACGUGCCAGCCGCCGCCGUAA